Molecule: ribosomal RNA, 449 nt
Filed under: uncultured Rhodocyclaceae bacterium
Lineage: Bacteria; Pseudomonadati; Pseudomonadota; Betaproteobacteria; Rhodocyclales; Rhodocyclaceae
Description: bacterial SSU rRNA
Rfam family: Bacterial small subunit ribosomal RNA
Source: RNAcentral
CGGUGGAUGAUGUGGUUAAUUCGAUGCAACGCGAAAACCUUACCCACCUUUGACAUGUCCGGAAUCCCGAAGAGAUUGGAGUGCUCGCAAGAGAGCCGGAACACAGGUGCUGCAUGGCUGUCGUCAGCUCGUGUCGUGAGAUGUUGGGUUAAGUCCCGCAACGAGCGCAACCCUUGUCAUUAGUUGCCAUCAUUUGGUUGGGCACUCUAAUGAGACUGCCGGUGACAAACCGGAGGAAGGUGGGGAUGACGUCAAGUCCUCAUGGCCCUUAUGGGUAGGGCUUCACACGUCAUACAAUGGUCGGUACAGAGGGUUGCCAACCCGCGAGGGGGAGCUAAUCCCACAAAGCCGAUCGUAGUCCGGAUCGCAGUCUGCAACUCGACUGCGUGAAGUCGGAAUCGCUAGUAAUCGUGGAUCAGCAUGUCACGGUGAAUACGUUCCCGGGUCUU